GAACGCUGGCGGCGUGCCUAAUACAUGCAAGUAGAACGCUGAAGAGAGGAGCUUGCUCUUCUUGGAUGAGUUGUGAACGGGUGAGUAACGCGUAGGUAACCUGCCUUGUAGCGGGGGAUAACUAUUGGAAACGAUAGCUAAUACCGCAUAACAAUGGAUGACACAUGUCAUUUAUUUGAAAGGGGCAAUUGCUCCACUACAAGAUGGACCUGCGUUGUAUUAGCUAGUAGGUGAGGUAACGGCUCACCUAGGCGACGAUACAUAGCCGACCUGAGAGGGUGAUCGGCAACACUGGGACUGAGACACGGCCCAGACUCCUACGGGAGGCAGCAGUAGGGAAUCUUCGGCAAUGGGGGCAACCCUGACCGAGCAACGCCGCGUGAGUGAAGAAGGUUUUCGGAUCGUAAAGCUCUGUUGUAAGUCAAGAACGAGUGUGAGAGUGGAAAGUUCACACUGUGACGGUAGCUUACCAGAAAGGGACGGCUAACUACGUGCCAGCAGCCGCGGUAAUACGUAGGUCCCGAGCGUUGUCCGGAUUUAUUGGGCGUAAAGCGAGCGCAGGCGGUUUGAUAAGUCUGAAGUUAAAGGCUGUGGCUCAACCAUAGUUCGCUUUGGAAACUGUCAAACUUGAGUGCAGAAGGGGAGAGUGGAAUUCCAUGUGUAGCGGUGAAAUGCGUAGAUAUAUGGAGGAACAUCGGUGGCGAAAGCGGCUCUCUGGUCUGUAACUGACGCUGAGGCUCGAAAGCGUGGGGAGCGAACAGGAUUAGAUACCCUGGUAGUCCACGCCGUAAACGAUGAGUGCUAGGUGUUGGAU
Molecule: ribosomal RNA, 814 nt
Filed under: uncultured Streptococcus sp.
Lineage: Bacteria; Bacillati; Bacillota; Bacilli; Lactobacillales; Streptococcaceae
Description: bacterial SSU rRNA
Rfam family: Bacterial small subunit ribosomal RNA
Source: RNAcentral